UAACUUUCAACAACGGAUCUCUUGGCUCUUGCAUCGAUGAAGAACGCAGCGAAAUGCGAUAAGUAAUAUGAAUUGCAGAAUUCCGUGAAUCAUUAAAUCUUUGAACGCAAAUUGCACUUCUUGGUAUUCCGAGGAGUAUGCUUGCUUGAGGGUUGGUC
Molecule: ribosomal RNA, 158 nt
Filed under: Acaulospora brasiliensis
Lineage: Eukaryota; Fungi; Glomeromycota; Glomeromycetes; Diversisporales; Acaulosporaceae
Also listed under: 1 other name
Description: 5.8S ribosomal RNA
Rfam family: 5.8S ribosomal RNA
About the family: 5.8S ribosomal RNA (5.8S rRNA) is a component of the large subunit of the eukaryotic ribosome. It is transcribed by RNA polymerase I as part of the 45S precursor that also contains 18S and 28S rRNA. Functionally, it is thought that 5.8S rRNA may be involved in ribosome translocation.
Source: RNAcentral